Molecule: ribosomal RNA, 410 nt
Filed under: uncultured bacterium
Lineage: Bacteria
Description: bacterial SSU rRNA
Rfam family: Bacterial small subunit ribosomal RNA
Source: RNAcentral
GUGCCAUCCAGCGCGCGGUAAUACGUAGGGGGCGAGCGUUGUCCGGAAUCACUGGGUGUAAAGGGUCCGCAAGCGGGCUGACAAGUCACAGGUGAAAUCCCUCCGCUUAACGGAGGAACCGCCUUUGAAACUGUCAGUCUUGAGUCCGGGAGAGGAUGGCGGAAUUCCUGGUGUAGCGGUGAAAUGCGUAGAUAUCAGGAAGAACACCGGUAGUGAAGACGGCCAUCUGGACCGGUACUGACGCCCAGGGACGAAAGCGUGGGGAGCAAACAGGAUUAAAUACCCUGGUAGUCCACGCCCUAAACGAUGGGUACUAGAUGUCGGGCUUAAGCUCGGUGUCGAAGCUAACGCAUUAAGUACCUCACCUGGGGAGUACGAUCGCAAGGUUGAAACUCAAAGAAAUUGACAGG